RNAcentral lists this ribosomal RNA (253 nucleotides) under uncultured bacterium. Its description in RNAcentral is "partial 16S ribosomal RNA". It matches the Rfam family "Bacterial small subunit ribosomal RNA", at positions 524 to 776 of the family's 1533-position model. The record is from RNAcentral.
UACAGAGGUCCCAAGCGUUGUUCGGAUUCACUGGGCGUAAAGGGUGCGUAGGUGGUCGGGUAAGUCUGAUGUGAAAUCUCCGAGCUUAACUCGGAAAUGGCAUUGGAUACUAUUCGGCUAGAGGGUUUGAGGGGGGACUGGAAUACUUGGUGUAGCAGUGAAAUGCGCAGAUAUCAGGAGGAACACCAAUGGCGAAGGCAGCUCGCUGGGACGGUACUGACGCUGAGGCGCGAAAGCGUGGGGAGCAAACAGG